Molecule: ribosomal RNA, 111 nt
Filed under: Neogale vison (American mink)
Lineage: Eukaryota; Metazoa; Chordata; Mammalia; Carnivora; Mustelidae
Source: RNAcentral
GUCUACGGCCAUACCACCCUGAACGCGCCCGAUCUCGUCUGAUCUCGGAAGCUAAGCAGGGUCGGGCCUGGUUAGUACUUGGAUGGGAGAAAUGACAAGAUUUCAUUCUUU